GGCCGUGGGCUCGCCAGCCGCCCCUCCGCACCCCUUCGCCGUCCCGGGGGGCUGCCGUCAGGUGGCGGCGCCCCGCCCGCCGCGGGCCCCCGGGGCCGAGCUUCCGGGCGUGUGCGUGUGCCCACCGCCCCUCCUCCUGGCUCCACACACACUCACACACUCACACGCGUGUGUGUGCGUCAGCCGUCCCCACGCACGCACGCAGAGCGGCGCCCACCUCACGCCUCCCCCCCCCCCCCCCCCCCUUUCUCCUUCCCUCCUCCGCCGUUAUCUGCGUGCGGCGGGGAAACGCCGCCUGGAGCGGGGACUGUUUAAUGCAAUAAAUCCGUUUUUACGCCGCGGGGCUCACGCCGAGCACCCCCGUUCCCCGGGUGGGGGUGCCCCUGCCUCUUGUACACACCCCAGGGGGGAGAAAAGUGAGGCUGGGGUCGCGCAAAUAUAAAAAAAAAUAAAGAAGGGGAUGGAGGGGGAGAGAAAGCGAUGCGGGGCCGCCCGCAGCCUCCUUUGGAAAUGAGCAGCUGAGGGAAGGAGGGGGAGAGGCUGGGGAAGACCACCGUGGUGGUUAAUAAUGCUGGGAGGCUGCCAUAAAGCGGCUGCUGAAGGAGGGCCUCUCCCGCCGCCUCACGGGGAGAUGCUGGGUCUUGGCUGGGGGGUGGUGGGGUUUGGGUUGUUUCUUGGGGAAGGGGAAGCAGGGGGGGAAAGGCAGGCGGUGGAGGUGUGAGGCCCUGACCUCCCUGCCAAGGGCGCCCGCCGUGCGCUGCUGAUUCACCGGGUCACCCUGGGCAAGGUCCUCGCCGCCUCCCCGCGCCCCAGCCGAAAGCAAGCCGUCCUGACCCUGUUUGCUGUCCUGGCAACGGGCGCCGGUUCCUGUGUCUGGAAAAUGCAUGGAAGAGUUCUAUUCCUCACUGUGUUAUUUUCUUCCAAGUGUCUUACAUCAGUAAAGGAGGUUUGGAAUAUUUUCCCCCAAACCCACAGGGAAUGGGAAAUGUCCAUUUGAUUACUCUUCCGUCUAUUCAGAUCAUCUAAUAAGGAGAGGUAAGCUGCAUAUAGGAAGUUUAGGAUACAUCUGAGUUUAGAAAUUCACUUAUUUCUGUGACACGAUGGGAACUGUAAUCAUUUUUUGGCUAAGGAAUUGCUGACUUUGUGAAAUCUUUCAAGGCUACGGAAGUAGAUUUUUUAAAGGUGAAUAACUCCAAAGCCAGAUGUUUCAGGAGUUGCUCUCGUCUCUAAAAAGCAGCUGUCAUGGAUGUGGAUCAUUCAGCCAAGACCCGGUGCACCACCUCCUAGCGACCCCAGCAAAGAAAACUCUUCCUACAGCUGGAGCUGUAUAAGGACCUGGCAGAAGCCUCGGGAACGCAGCCUCCCAGAAACGCGUCAGAACAGCAAAUGUGCUAAACAUCUAACUGCAUCGCAGUGGUAUAAAUUACACAGACGGAGGUAUCGAUUGUGAAAAGAUCAGAUAGUUUUAAAGUCAGUGGAUGGCUGUCAAGUUGUUAAUUGAACAUUUGCUGAAAAAUGCCUGUGGCAAUUUACCAAGAAAUAGACCUUUUACAACACUGGUCUUAUGAGAACCUACCAACCUUCUCAGAAGAAGGAUUCAUUAGAGCUAUUUUCCUAGUAAGGCCCAGAAAAAGAAAGACAGAGUGGCUAAGAAAAUACAUGUGAUCUCUGGAGGCAUGAGUCGCCUACCAUGUGAAGGCAAUUUGAUUGUCCAGGUCACCACACAUACCAUUUGUUUGCCACAUGAAAUGCUGGAGACCAAGCCACAGGCUCUUUAAUGCUAACUUAAAUCUCUGGAAGAGAGUUGAGCAAAAGGUUAUUGUACUUGUGAGCAACAGCAAGCCAACUUCCUAAGCAUGCCUUGAAGUAGGGUACCACCAGGAAACGUGGUGAUUCAUGCUGGCGUGAUUUCAGAAGGUAGUGCCCCCAGCCCUCUGCUGCAGCUCUCUGGGGAGGUUACCAUGCCUACAGCACAACCAGGGUGCUUGCUGCUCAGCUGCACCAGCCCACGGCCCAGCACACUACAUUUAACUGGAACUGAUGGACAUUUACGGCAGCACACCAAGCGUGAGACUGUGGCAGCUGAAAGGCAGGCGUAGUUCCCGUUCUGUCAGGUGACAAAGGAGUGAAAAUUUCUUUCCGAGAAGCAGAGCAGCCAACAGGAGCAAUAUACUUUUCUAAGUUGCCCUAACUGUGUUCGUUUUAAAGCAUUCUUUUAUUUGCUGCCAUUUUGCACUGUUGGUUGAUGUCACUUAUCUUUUCCAAGCAAUACUGUGCAAACACAGCUACCAACAUGGUGCUUUGCGUGGCCAUAUGAGGCCAGAAGGUGGGUCUGGUACUCUACCAUCAUCGUAAAUAUAACAAUGUGGAGCUGUGCAGUCUGAAACAUAGACACAGGCUAUGUCUUCACUAACAGCUCACAUUAAUACCUUCCUCCCAAGAAAUCGGUCAAUACAACGUUAAGUACAAUGUGCCUUCUUUCCAUUACACAACAUGUUUUGACUGGGAAACACCAGGGAAAUGAGCACUGCUGUGAAAAAUAAAUAAAUAAAUAAAUAAAUAAAUAAACAUUUGUAUAGACCUUCAUGGUUACUCUGUUGUCUAGACAGAGGCUGCUUCUGAGCUGAACUAUUUAACAUUUGAGUUUCAGGUGGUUUCUCUCUUCUUUACUAUUCAGACAUAAUGUUGCCCCUUAGUUCCCUGGACAGGAACAUCACAUAUUACUUCUCUCCACACUUAAGAGAGGGGGAAUUUUUUAGGUAGGGGUCUUUUCCAAGUGUUGCUUCAGAGAAAUCACUGGCAACAUUCCUUAAAAA
This is a long non-coding RNA of Cygnus olor (mute swan), 2816 nucleotides long. RefSeq lists it as uncharacterized. NCBI's taxonomy places the organism in Eukaryota, Metazoa, Chordata, Aves, Anseriformes, Anatidae. The transcript is spliced from 4 exons. The record is from RefSeq and is a predicted model, not a curated record.